Long non-coding RNA from Misgurnus anguillicaudatus (oriental weatherfish), 1433 nucleotides. RefSeq lists it as uncharacterized. Lineage: Eukaryota; Metazoa; Chordata; Actinopteri; Cypriniformes; Cobitidae. The record is from RefSeq and is a predicted model, not a curated record.
UCUCUUCAGCUGUGCUGUCGGGACCUCGAGAGCCAUAAACUCCGGCAUUGAUUAGAUGACUGUGUGCAGCGAGGGAAGAGAUUGUUUCCGGGCGACGGAAUCAACCGGGAGAGGCCGGAGAACCGAGGACGCAGCGGCAUCCUGAGCUGCCCUUUGAUGUGCCUGAUGAAUGCAGAGCAACAGGGGGUCCGAGAGAGAGAGACGGGCAGGGAGAGCUCUACCUGCUGGGGUUCUCAAAAGGAUUGAUUCCCUGUCGCUGCUGCCCGGAUGGUCGGAAAGAAAAAGAGAAAAGCAAUAGAGAAAGAGCGAGCUUAGGAGAACCAACAAAGCACGACCACUUAGCAGAGUUCACCGCUGAGCUCUGGCUUCAAGGAAAUUCGCUCUUUGUUGAUGUCACUAGGUGAACGGAGAGCAUGCUGGGAACAGAUGUUUUAAAGAAUAUGCUGGCGUUAUACGAUAGAAAGGGAAAUGGGGACUUUGACAGUCAAGCUCCAAAAAGGGUGCUCAAAGUCUUUCAGUGGGCUCGGUAAGAAAAAAACAGAGAGGAUGAUGGGAUUUAAUGAUCCACACCAGCGAACAAAGCACAGCUUUGCACAAAAGAAGAAACCUCUGGCUGGGUUCCAAGGCCACAGUCAAUGGCACAAAAAUACGUAUGUUCUGAUGUCCUUUAAGAAACCUAAAAAAAAAAAACAUUUGGAAUGGUUGGGCAAUGUGUUGGAAAGUCUCCUUGUGCCAAACAUUUUGAUCUCCAGAAUCGUCCCCUUGCCAUUCCUCAGCACACUGAAUGGAAGUUUUUAAUCCCAUGGAGAUUUUCCUGCGUGUUAGUGGGUCCUUUCAUAAAGAGCUCACUCGUUCCCUUUCCUUGCCGACUCGUACAGGGCUCUCUCUGUGUCUGCUGGAGUUUUGAGGGCCGUUUCUCCCCUGUAAGCCUUUGAGGAGCUUGGCCUUUGAAGUCCCGCACUCCACUGAUGGCUUCACCAAUAGCCGCGCUUUGAAUGCCUUGAAUUAAUGGUUCCCAAAGAGAGAUGGAGAGACCUACAGCAGAAGAUGAGUAGACCCAAAAACCCACUCACUGUACACCUGUGACCUUCUGUAACCCCAGAUGUCCUAAUGCUAAUUUCACAUGUUUAAUGUAUGGUGUUUUCUGCAGAUUCUCUACAGCUUUAAACUGUGAAACCAAAUCAAGAACAUGGAAUUAUUUUCUAAUUUGGCAUGAAAAGAAACAAAUGUGCAUGAAGAAUAGUACAUCAUCUUGAAUUAAAAAUGUUGUGUUACUAUUAAAGAAGUGCUUGGCGUGAGGUAAAUUCACUCUGAUCUCUUCAAACACGCAGUUUAAACACCGAUUCUGAAAAUGUCAUAUUUGAUUCUUCACUGUUAGAAAUUACCAGCAUUUUACAAUCAUUAACAGUGUUAUUUUACCAUAACUUGUUGUA